Molecule: long non-coding RNA, 2188 nt
Filed under: Paramuricea clavata
Lineage: Eukaryota; Metazoa; Cnidaria; Anthozoa; Malacalcyonacea; Plexauridae
Source: RNAcentral
CCUGAUGUCUUGAUGGGAUCAUGAUGGUAUUCACGUUUGAGAGCAGUUGACCUUGGCAUUGACCGCUAAACCAAACUGUCAGUUGCGUUGUGUGCUUUUAAUUAGCGUCGACGAAUUUUAGGGCGGGUGAAAUGUGGUGAAACGUAGGUCUGUUAUUAGGCUAGCUUUUAAUGGCCGUUUUUAUACUAGAGACGCAUUAUGCGUCUGGACGAACUUGGGCGAGCAUUUGUUGUUCGUCUGGUUAUGCGUCCUUAGUAUAAAGACGGGCACAAAACGCAUUGUGCGUCUAUGUCCUCUAUUAACUAUGGCCGUUUUUAUAUUAGAGACGCAUUAUGCGUCUGGACGCAUAAUCCGUCUUCUACAUUAUUCGUCUAGUAUUAUUUAGUCCAACAGAUGGUAGCUUCGCACCAUUGUCUUUUCAGGCAAGUGCAUGAGCCAAUUGUCUGAAUCUGCGGUUCCUCUCGUACUGAGCAGAAUUACUCAGGCUAAGUAUUAUUCGUCCCUGCGUCCCGUCUUUAUACUAGACGAAUAAUGUAGAAGACGGUUAUGCGUCCAGACGCAUAAUGCGUCUCUAGUAUAAAAACGGCCAAUAUAAAGGGACGGACCAUUAGAAAAGGGGGGGGGGGGGGGGGGUGGAAGUGGGACUUUUUUAUAACUUGUACGAAUAUUUUUUUAAAUUUUUUGCUUGUGUCGAUAAUUUUUUAAAAUAUAAUCCCUUGCACGAAUUUUUUUCAUUUCACGAAUAUUUUUUUUCGAACUUUCUUGGUGCACAUUUUUUUUUCUUUCUGUCUCCCCUGCGCGAUUUGGGGGAGGGGGAUUUGGGGAAAGGGCAACCCCCAAAACAUUUAAAGUUGAAAACCCGAAAAUUUCAAUGUCAGAAACAAACAAAUAGUUGGAUAUCAGAAAGUGUUAUUCUCUCUGGAACCAAAAUAUAUGAAAUUCUUUUAAAUGUACGACAUAUCUGCAAUCCACCCUAAUUAAUUGCCUGGAUACGGAUGACUCAGUGUCCGUCAGACACUCAGACGAAGGAAUUCAGUUUCUAGUAAAAUUGGGUCAAUAUUUUAUACAGUUCGUGUGGAUAGUACCCUGGGUACCAGGAGGCUCUGAGUAUGUGGAUAGCGUAAUUGAAAAUGAAAAGAGUGCGCCCCCAGGCCAACAUCGAUUUCAAUUUUACCUCAGAUUUUACAUUGUAACAGCUGUUCAAAUGAGCUGGAUCAUAUUUAAAAUCAAAAUAUGAUUCCGGAAACUACAUCACUUGAAGCACUAGAAACAUCAUUGAGUCAGUUACGGUAUUGAUUUUAGGUAUUUGUGGCUAGAAUAAAAAUUUUGAUAUAAAAUCAUCUUUAGACAAUUGUUCAGUAUUUUACAGUACAGAAUUGUCUUCUUAGAUCUGGAAGUCAGAAUACGAAGUCAGAUACAUGUAAAACAUGCCUAUUACUGUCGAUGCAAUGGAAGUGUUGAUAAAAUAUUGCACCAAACAGUAAUACCAAUGACGCCCGUACGUAAUUACCACAAACUGACACUAUAAAACACAGUUUUUAAUCCAGCCCCCCUCGCCUGCCGACAAUAACAUUCAUUUUCUCGACAUCGCUUGCAUGAGCACCCUAAUGUCUUGUGAUGGUUAGCCUGCGUAGCAGUCGCUUUAUUUUAUUCUUCGCCCGUUUUUUCUCAUCCUUUUUUUUCUUCGUCCAUUUUUUAACUCGCCAUUUAUUCAAAAAUCCUCAAAACCUACAAUAAAAUAAAGCGACUGCUUCGCAGGCUAUGUGAUGGCUACUAACUCUUGACGAAGGUCCUUCGCUCGAAACGUCGAGUUUCUGCUUAUUUUUUAAAGUAGUAAUAUAACCACUCAGCACAGCAUGUGAUGAUCGGUUGUCAAUAUCAAGUUCUUGUUUCCUGAUGAAGGAGAGUCGUCGACCUUGGCUUUCCGGCAGAAAACGUGAUCCGUCUGGUCUUUUCUCAGGUUUCAGUGUUGAGAUUGUAUUGGGUGUAAAUACCCUGGGAUGAAACGUAUAGGUGGGUUUUAAUCAAACACCUGCUAUCCUGGCUAAUUUAAUAAUCAUAGAUGGUCAACCUACAGUUAUCAGAGUGGAAAAGUAAUGAAGCAUUAUAUGGGGGAAGUUGACGACUAGCCAUUAUAUGGGGGAAGUUGACGGCUACCCUAGCCCAUUCCCCCGUUUCCACACUCCCG